CCUACGGGAGGCAGCAGUGGGGAAUAUUGCACAAUGGGCGCAAGCCUGAUGCAGCCAUGCCGCGUGUGUGAAGAAGGCCUUCGGGUUGUAAAGCACUUUCAGCGAGGAGGAAGGUGGUGAACUUAAUACGUUCAUCAAUUGACGUUACUCGCAGAAGAAGCACCGGCUAACACCGUGCCAGCAGCCGCGGUAAU
This 194-nucleotide ribosomal RNA is filed under the name uncultured bacterium. Its description in RNAcentral is "partial 16S ribosomal RNA". It matches the Rfam family "Bacterial small subunit ribosomal RNA", at positions 338 to 524 of the family's 1533-position model. The record is from RNAcentral.